This 66-nucleotide transfer RNA is filed under the name Loxodonta africana (African savanna elephant). It matches the Rfam family "tRNA". From Rfam's summary of the family: Transfer RNA (tRNA) molecules are approximately 80 nucleotides in length. Their secondary structure includes four short double-helical elements and three loops (D, anti-codon, and T loops). The record is from Rfam by way of RNAcentral. Lineage: Eukaryota; Metazoa; Chordata; Mammalia; Proboscidea; Elephantidae.
GUUGGUGGUUCAGUGGUAAAACUCUCGCCUUCCAUGCGGAAGACCUGGGUUCGAUUUCCAGCCAAC